This 122-nucleotide microRNA precursor is filed under the name Podarcis lilfordi (Lilford's wall lizard). The record is from RNAcentral. Lineage: Eukaryota; Metazoa; Chordata; Lepidosauria; Squamata; Lacertidae.
UAUGUAUUCUACAUAAUUUUCAAUGUUGUUAAUGGUUUUCAAAGUUUUCACUGUUUUCAAACAUUUCAAACAUGAAAACUUUGAAAACCAUUAACAACAUUGAAAAUUAUGUAGAAUACAUA